CAAGUCGAACGCAGUAGCAAUACUGAGUGGCAGACGGGUGAGUAACAUGUGGGAAUCUGCCUUGUGGUUCAGGACAACAUUGGGAAACCGAUGCUAAUACUGGAUAAGCCCUUACGGGGAAAGUUUUAAUGCCAUAAGAUGAGCCCGCAUUUGAUUAGUUAGUUGGUGAGGUAAUGGCUCACCAAGACGAUGAUCAAUAGCUGAUCUGAGAGGAUGAUCAGCCACACUGGGACUGAGACACGGCCCAGACUCCUACGGGAGGCAGCAGUGGGGAAUCUUGCACAAUGGAGGAAACUCUGAUGCAGCGAUGCCGCGUGAGUGAAGAAGACCUUUGGGUUGUAAAGCUCUUUUGUAGGGGAAGAUAAUGACUGUACCCUAAGAAUAAGGUCCGGCUAACUUCGUGCCAGCAGCCGCGGUAAUACGAAGGGACCUAGCGUAGUUCGGAAUUACUGGGCGUAAAGCGCGCGUAGGCCGUUGAGUUAGUUAAUUGUGAAAUCCCAAAGCUUAACUUUGGAACUGCAAUUAAAACUGCUCGACUAGAGUUUGAUAGAGGAAAGCGGAAUACAUAGUGUAGAGGUGAAAUUCGUAGAUAUUAUGUAGAACACCAGUUGCGAAGGCGGCUUUCUGGAUCAACACUGACGCUGAGGCGCGAAAGUAUGGGUAGCAAAGAGGAUUAGAUACCCUCGUAGUCCAUACCAUAAACGAUGAUUGCUAGAUGUUGGAAAUUUAUUUUCAGUAUCGCAGCUAACGCAUUAAGCAAUCCGCCUGGGGAGUACGACCGCAAGGUUAAAACUCAAAUGAAUUGACGG
RNAcentral lists this ribosomal RNA (809 nucleotides) under uncultured bacterium. RNAcentral describes it as "bacterial SSU rRNA". It matches the Rfam family "Bacterial small subunit ribosomal RNA", at positions 58 to 916 of the family's 1533-position model. The record is from RNAcentral.